Molecule: non-coding RNA, 225 nt
Organism: Pelobates cultripes (western spadefoot toad)
Lineage: Eukaryota; Metazoa; Chordata; Amphibia; Anura; Pelobatidae
Source: the annotation of a GenBank genome assembly
GUUCGUUUAAUUCCUUAACUCCCGAAUAAACUGCCGAAUGGCCGGCCACCCAGCAUGGAAGUGUGCUGCUGGUUAACCUCUUGGCCCCAUUCGAACGUUGUGGUUAACCGCAGACACCUCUUAAUUGUCAAAGGUAGGCUGGGUGGUCGUCGUUUGUAUGCCGACCACGAGGCAGCGGCCAUCUUGGACGCACGAAUGCCCAGCAGUAUUCGUCGACGAUUCCCU